GCCAGGUGCGGUGGCUCACGCCUGUAAUCCCAGCACUUUGGGAGGCUGAGGUGGGCGGAUCACCUGAGGUCAGGAGUUCGAGACCAGCCUGACCAACAUGGUGAAACCCCAUCUCUA
This 117-nucleotide non-coding RNA is filed under the name Chlorocebus sabaeus (green monkey). The record is from Rfam by way of RNAcentral. Lineage: Eukaryota; Metazoa; Chordata; Mammalia; Primates; Cercopithecidae.